This 483-nucleotide ribosomal RNA is filed under the name uncultured bacterium. RNAcentral's name for it is "partial 16S ribosomal RNA". It matches the Rfam family "Bacterial small subunit ribosomal RNA", at positions 30 to 506 of the family's 1533-position model. The record is from RNAcentral.
AUUGAACGCUGGCGGCAGGCCUAACACAUGCAAGUCGAGCGGAUGAAGGGAGCUUGCUCCUGGAUUCAGCGGCGGACGGGUGAGUAAUGCCUAGGAAUCUGCCUGGUAGUGGGGGAUAACGUCCGGAAACGGGCGCUAAUACCGCAUACGUCCUGAGGGAGAAAGUGGGGGAUCUUCGGACCUCACGCUAUCAGAUGAGCCUAGGUCGGAUUAGCUAGUUGGUGGGGUAAAGGCCUACCAAGGCGACGAUCCGUAACUGGUCUGAGAGGAUGAUCAGUCACACUGGAACUGAGACACGGUCCAGACUCCUACGGGAGGCAGCAGUGGGGAAUAUUGGACAAUGGGCGAAAGCCUGAUCCAGCCAUGCCGCGUGUGUGAAGAAGGUCUUCGGAUUGUAAAGCACUUUAAGUUGGGAGGAAGGGCAGUAAGUUAAUACCUUGCUGUUUGGACGUUACCAACAGAAUAAGCACCGGCGAACUGCGG